RNAcentral lists this ribosomal RNA (549 nucleotides) under uncultured Glomeromycotina. RNAcentral's name for it is "SSU rRNA". It matches the Rfam family "Eukaryotic small subunit ribosomal RNA", at positions 548 to 1098 of the family's 1831-position model. Lineage: Eukaryota; Fungi; Glomeromycota. The record is from RNAcentral.
UUGGAGGGCAAGUCUGGUGCCAGCAGCCGCGGUAAUUCCAGCUCCAAUAGCGUAUAUUAAAGUUGUUGCAGUUAAAAAGCUCGUAGUUGAAUUUCGGGGUUAGUAGGUUGGUCAUGCCUCUGGUAUGUACUGGUCUCACUGAUUCCUCCUUCCUGAUGAAUCUUAAUGCCAUUAAUUUGGUGUUUUGGGGAAUUUGGACUGUUACUUUGAAAAAAUUAGAGUGUUUAAAGCAAGCUAACGCUUGAAUACAUUAGCAUGGAAUAAUGAAAUAGGACGUUCGAUCCUGUUUUGUUGGUUUCUAGGAUUGACGUAAUGAUUAAUAGGGAUAGUUGGGGGCAUUAGUAUUCAAUUGUCAGAGGUGAAAUUCUUGGAUUUAUUGAAGACUAACUACUGCGAAAGCAUUUGCCAAGGAUGUUUUCAUUAAUCAAGAACGAAAGUUAGGGGAUCGAAGACGAUCAGAUACCGUCGUAGUCUUAACCAUAAACUAUGCCGACUAGGGAUCGGAUGAUGUUAAUUUUUUAAUGACUCAUUCGGCGCCUUACGGGAAAC